This 1057-nucleotide ribosomal RNA is filed under the name Microtus obscurus (Altai voie). RNAcentral describes it as "partial 16S ribosomal RNA". It matches the Rfam family "Bacterial large subunit ribosomal RNA", at positions 857 to 2622 of the family's 2925-position model. The record is from RNAcentral. Lineage: Eukaryota; Metazoa; Chordata; Mammalia; Rodentia; Cricetidae.
UGCCGAUAAGAAUUUCAGUUCACUUUAAGAUUGCCAUAGGAAUAAAAAAAUCAAAAUGUAAUCUUAAAUUUUAGCCUGAAGAGGGACAGCUCUUCAGGAACGGAAACAACCUCAUAUAGUGAAUAAACCCUGUCUACUUAAACCAUUGUUGGCCUAAAAGCAGCCACCAAUAAAGAAAGCGUUAAAGCUCAACACUACAAACCCUUAAUACCAUAAAUCACAAUGAAUUCCUAUAAAUACUAAUCGGGCUAAUCUAUAACUAUAUAGAUGAAAUACUGUUAACAUGAGUAACAAGAACACCGUUCUCCAAGCACAAGCCUAUAACAACCCGGAUGACCAUUGUUAGUUAACAUAAUUAGGUUAACACACCACCAAUAAAGCUAACCUAAACACGAAAUGUUGACCCAACACAGGCGUGCAACAAGGAAAGAUUAAAAGAAGUAAAAGGAACUCGGCAAACAAGAAUCCCGCCUGUUUACCAAAAACAUCACCUCUAGCAUAGAAAGUAUUAGAGGCACUGCCUGCCCAGUGACAAGAGUUCAACGGCCGCGGUAUCCUGACCGUGCAAAGGUAGCAUAAUCACUUGUUCCUUAAUUGGGGACUGGAAUGAAUGGCCACACGAGGAUUCAACUGUCUCUUACCUCUAAUCAGUGAAAUUGACCUCCCCGUGAAGAGGCGGGGAUAAAAUAAUAAGACGAGAAGACCCUAUGGAGCUUUAAUUUACUGACUUAGCUAUACAAUUAAUUACCCUAAUGGACCAAAAAAAAGAAGUAAGCCAGAAAUUUCGGUUGGGGUGACCUCGGAGAAUAAAACAACCUCCGAAUGAUUUUAACCAAGACCCACAAGUCAAAGUAUUCAAAAUCAAAUUGACCCAAUUCAUUUGAUCAACGGACCAAGUUACCCUAGGGAUAACAGCGCAAUCCUAUUCAAGAGUUCAUAUCGACAAUUAGGGUUUACGACCUCGAUGUUGGAUCAGGACAUCCCAAUGGUGCAGCAGCUAUUAAUGGUUCGUUUGUUCAACGAUUAAAGUCCUACGUGAUCUGAGUCAGACCGAUAU